Molecule: small RNA, 27 nt
Filed under: Bombyx mori (domestic silkworm)
Lineage: Eukaryota; Metazoa; Arthropoda; Insecta; Lepidoptera; Bombycidae
Description: ovarian small RNA-38456
Source: RNAcentral
UUUUCACCGCGCGUUACGGUUUGGAAC